AUUGCGACGUAGACCCGUAGCAGAUAUUAAUCUUUUGCUGCUGGGCUGCCUCGCUGGGC
This 59-nucleotide microRNA precursor is filed under the name Oreochromis niloticus (Nile tilapia). Its description in RNAcentral is "microRNA oni-mir-10788 precursor". Lineage: Eukaryota; Metazoa; Chordata; Actinopteri; Cichliformes; Cichlidae. The record is from miRBase by way of RNAcentral.